Molecule: small nucleolar RNA, 198 nt
Filed under: Balaenoptera musculus (blue whale)
Lineage: Eukaryota; Metazoa; Chordata; Mammalia; Artiodactyla; Balaenopteridae
Description: Small nucleolar RNA U3 (ENSBMSG00010018769.1)
Rfam family: Small nucleolar RNA U3
About the family: Small nucleolar RNAs (snoRNAs) are involved in the processing and modification of rRNA in the nucleolus. There are two main classes of snoRNAs: the box C/D class, and the box H/ACA class.
Source: Rfam by way of RNAcentral
AAGGCUGUAGGUACAACAGUAAUUUUUGUGGUUUGUUGUUAGACAAAAUUUGAAGGGCGUGUUAGAACACUCGAAACUGUGGAGAUGUAGUGUUUUUUUCUGAGUGUGAAGGCUGCCCUUGGUGUUGUUUUUACAGCUACUACUACAUGUUGAUGAUCGUUUUUCUUGUUCUUAAGAAGAGAAUGCUCAUUGAGUGGU